RNAcentral lists this long non-coding RNA (797 nucleotides) under Homo sapiens (human). RNAcentral describes it as "HSALNT0086418". Lineage: Eukaryota; Metazoa; Chordata; Mammalia; Primates; Hominidae. The record is from RNAcentral.
AAAAGCUGGCCUUAUGUUUUGUGUACACAAUCCCUGUACGGGGUUCCUGACCUGUGGUCCCCGGGCGGUGCUGUGCAGGUGCAUGAUAAGGAGCGUGAUCUGAUGUCUGAUUCACACCAGGGUGUGGGAAUCUCAGAGGCAGAGAGCCCUGGAGAUGAAAGGGACAGAGACCUGGAUUCAGAUCUCAUUUUACAAUGAAGACCCCAAUGCAGAAAGUCAUGUCUGAAAUUCUGAGCUUACUCUUCUGCCUGCUGGGACCUGCUCUGGAUGAGAGAAGGGAGGAAAAGGACUAAUCAGAGGAGCCAAUGAAGUCACUCCAUGAGCUAGAGAUUAACGUCUGACCAUCAACAUAGGACACUGUGCAGAUGGCUACUUGCUGGCGCACAUGAAGACCAAAGCCAGGACACAAGCCCCAGCCCUGCUAAACACGGCAGAGACUCUGCCCCAGCCCACCUCCUGUGAGAAUCUGCUUCACUCCACAGCUGACCCCAGCAUCUUCAUGUGAGGACCAUGAAUGGACAUAGUUUCCAGGAUUUUUUGUGACCCAGGAAACCCGAACUCUCAUCAAAAAUGAAUAAAUAAAAGGAGGGAUGGGUAAGAAAAUGCUAAAAAUCUCCUUUUUGAAUCAUUAACAUUCACUUGAAAUUUGUCUCCACUAUUUCCUACUACCCUAGCAAACUCCAACCUGAAUAGCAUGGGUGAUGGCACUAAGCCCUAUAAUAGAAAAAGUGCCCUUAAGCUCUGUAUUAGUCCGUUCUCUCACUGCUAAUAAAGAUACACCUGAGGCUGGCUAAUUU